UACGUAGGUGGCAAGUGUUGUCCGGAUUUACUGGGCGUAAAGGGUGCGUAGGCGGCGCGGUAAGUCGGGUGUGAAAUCUUGGAGCUUAACUCCGAAACUGCAUUCGAUACUGCCGUGCUUGAGGACUGGAGAGGAGACUGGAAUUUACGGUGUAGCGGUGAAAUGCGUAGAUAUCGUAAGGAAGACCAGUGGCGAAGGCGGGUCUCUGGACAGUUCCUGACGCUGAGGUGCGAAAGCGUGGGGAGCAAACGGG
RNAcentral lists this ribosomal RNA (253 nucleotides) under uncultured bacterium. RNAcentral's name for it is "partial 16S ribosomal RNA". It matches the Rfam family "Bacterial small subunit ribosomal RNA", at positions 524 to 776 of the family's 1533-position model. The record is from RNAcentral.